This 867-nucleotide ribosomal RNA is filed under the name uncultured Actinomycetales bacterium. Its description in RNAcentral is "bacterial SSU rRNA". It matches the Rfam family "Bacterial small subunit ribosomal RNA", at positions 400 to 1283 of the family's 1533-position model. The record is from RNAcentral. Lineage: Bacteria; Bacillati; Actinomycetota; Actinomycetes; Actinomycetales.
CGUGCGGGAUGAAGGCCUUCGGGUUGUAAACCGCUUUCAGUAGGGAAGAAGCGAAAGUGACGGUACCUACAAAAGAAGCACCGGCUAACUAUGUGCCAGCAGCCGCGGUAAUACAUAGGGUGCAAGCGUUGUCCGGAAUUAUUGGGCGUAAAGAGCUCGUAGGUUGUUUGUUACGUCGGAUGUGAAAACCUGAGGCUCAACCUCAGGCCUGCAUUCGAUACGGGCAAACUAGAGUUUGGUAGGGGAGACUGGAAUUCCUGGUGUAGCGGUGGAAUGCGCAGAUAUCAGGAGGAACACCAAUGGCGAAGGCAGGUCUCUGGGCCAAUACUGACACUGAGGAGCGAAAGUCUGGGGAGCGAACAGGAUUAGAUACCCUGGUAGUCCAGACCGUAAACGGUGGGCACUAGUUGUGGGAACCUUCCACGGUUUCUGCGACGCAGCUAACGCAUUAAGUGCCCCGCCUGGGGAGUACGAUCGCAAGAUUAAAACUCAAAGGAAUUGACGGGGCCCCGCACAAGCAGCGGAGCAUGCGGCUUAAUUCGACGCAACGCGAAGAACCUUACCAAGGCUUGACAUAUAGGGAAAAGUGGCAGAGAUGUCAUGUCCGCAAGGGCUGUAUACAGGUGGUGCAUGGUUGUCGUCAGCUCGUGUCGUGAGAUGUUGGGUUAAGUCCCGCAACGAGCGCAACCCUCGUUCUGUGUUGCCAGCAUUUAGUUGGGGACUCACAGGAGACUGCCGGGGUUAACUCGGAGGAAGGUGGGGAUGACGUCAAAUCAUCAUGCCCCUUAUGUCUUGGGCUGCACGCAUGCUACAAUGGCUGGUACAAAGGGCUGCAAUACUGCAAAGUGGAGCGAAUCCCAAAAAGCC